Molecule: ribosomal RNA, 468 nt
Filed under: uncultured bacterium
Lineage: Bacteria
Description: partial 16S ribosomal RNA
Rfam family: Bacterial small subunit ribosomal RNA
Source: RNAcentral
GACGAACGCUGGCGGCGUGCUUAACACAUGCAAGUCGAACGGAAAGGCCCUGCUUUUGUGGGGUGCUCGAGUGGCGAACGGGUGAGUAACACGUGAGUAACCUGCCCUUGACUUUGGGAUAACUUCAGGAAACUGGGGCUACUACCGGAUAGGAGCUCCUGCUGCAUGGUGGGGGUUGGAAAGUUUCGGCGGUUGGGGAUGGACUCGCGGCUUAUCAGCUUGUUGGUGGGGUAGUGGCUUACCAAGGCUUUGACGGGUAGCCGGCCUGAGAGGGUGACCUGCCACAUUGGGACUGAGAUACGGCCCAGACUCCUACGGGAGGCAGCAGUGGGGAAUAUUGCACAAUGGGCGGAAGCCUGAUGCAGCAACGCCGCGUGCGGGAUGACGGCCUUCGGGUUGUAAACCGCUUUCGCCUGUGACGAAGCGUGAGUGACGGUAAUGGGUAAAGAAGCACCGGCUAACUACGUG